CCUGACGCAGGCCUAACCAUGCUCUCCCGUCUUCGCAGAGGGGACAGGGCGCGCCCGCCCGGGAGCCGGUGAUCAGCAGCGAGGAGCAGAAGCAGCUGAUGCUGUUCUACCACCGCCGGCAGGAGGAGCUCAAGAAACUGGAGGAAAAUGAUGACGACUCGUGUUUGAACUCUCCGUGGGCCGACAACACUGCUCUGAAAAGACAUUUUCAAGGCGUGAAGGACAUCAAGUGGAGACCAAGAUGAAGCUUCUAGAAGCCCUAGCUCACCUCUCUGUAGGCAAACAGUAACCAUAGUAACAGUGAUGACGGUGAACACAGAAGGGUGGCACAGCCCUCGUGAAAGACGUUGGGAUUUCCAGGUUUCCUAGUUUCUGAGUUUGAAUUUUUAUGAUAAAAUGUAUUAAAGGUCGUAGAACUUAAA
Long non-coding RNA from Myotis lucifugus (little brown bat), 422 nucleotides. RefSeq lists it as uncharacterized. The transcript is spliced from 2 exons. Lineage: Eukaryota; Metazoa; Chordata; Mammalia; Chiroptera; Vespertilionidae. The record is from RefSeq and is a predicted model, not a curated record.